AAGUCGAGCGGAGAACAGACUCGGUUGUCUAGCGGCGGACGGGUGAGGAACGGCGUGGGUAACUCUGCCCCGUAUACAGGGGAAUAACAACUGAGAAAUUAGUGAUAAAGCCGCAUAAGCCCACGGGAUCGCAUGAUCCUGCGGGAAAAACUACCGGUGGUAUAGGAUGAGCCCGCGUCCGAUUAGCUAGUUGGUGAGGUAAUGGCCCACCAAGGCGACGAUCGGUAGCCGGUCUGAGAGGAUGGACGGCCACAUUGGGACUGAGACACGGCCCAAACUCCUACGGGAGGCAGCAGUGGGGAAUAUUGCACAAGUCGGGGGAAACCCUGAUGCAAGCGAUGCCGCGUGAAGGAAGAAGAUUUUCGGAUUGUAAACUUCUAUCAGCGAGGAAGAGAACGGACAGUACUCGAGUAAGCAGCCCCGGCUAACUACGUGCCAGCCGCCGC
RNAcentral lists this ribosomal RNA (446 nucleotides) under uncultured bacterium. RNAcentral describes it as "bacterial SSU rRNA". It matches the Rfam family "Bacterial small subunit ribosomal RNA", at positions 59 to 518 of the family's 1533-position model. The record is from RNAcentral.